UGCAGUCUAUGAUGAAGAUUGUAUAUUGUACUGAUCUAUAUGUGAUUAACAUAAACAAUUUCACCAUCUUUCGACUGAGUCUGCC
Molecule: small nucleolar RNA, 85 nt
Organism: Daucus carota subsp. sativus
Lineage: Eukaryota; Viridiplantae; Streptophyta; Magnoliopsida; Apiales; Apiaceae
Source: RefSeq, a predicted model, not a curated record